UAGGAAUCUGCCUGGUAGUGGGGGACAACGUUUGAAAGGAACGCUAAUACCGCAUACGUCCUACGGGAGAAAGCAGGGGACCUUCGGGCCUUGCGCUAUCAGAUGAGCCUAGGUCGGAUUAGCUAGUUGGUGGGGUAAUGGCUCACCAAGGCGACGAUCCGUAACUGGUCUGAGAGGAUGAUCAGUCACACUGGAACUGAGACACGGUCCAGACUCCUACGGGAGGCAGCAGUGGGGAAUAUUGGACAAUGGGCGAAAGCCUGAUCCAGCCAUGCCGCGUGUGUGAAGAAGGUCUUCGGAUUGUAAAGCACUUUAAGUUGGGAGGAAGGGCAGUAAGUUAAUACCUUGCUGUUUUGACGUUACCGACAGAAUAAGCACCGGCUAACUCUGUGCCAGCAGCCGCGGUAAUACAGAGGGUGCAAGCGUUAAUCGGAAUUACUGGGCGUAAAGCGCGCGUAGGUGGUUCGUUAAGUUGGAUGUGAAAGCCCCGGGCUCAACCUGGGGAACUGCAUCCAAAACUGGCAAGCUAGAGUACGGUAGAGGGUGGUGGAAUUUCCUGUGUAGCGGUGAAAUGCGUAGAUAUAGGAAGGAACACCAGUGGCGAAGGCGACCACCUGGACUGAUACUGACACUGAGGUGCGAAAGCGUGGGGGAGCAACCAGGAUUAGAUCCCCUGGUAGUCCACGCCGUAAACGAUGUCAACUAGCCGUUGGAAUCCUUGAGAAUUUAGUGGCGCAGCUAACGCUUUAAGUUGACCGCCUGGGGAGUCGGGCCGCAGGGUUAAAACUCAAUUGAAUUG
RNAcentral lists this ribosomal RNA (799 nucleotides) under Pseudomonas sp. AMF1810. RNAcentral's name for it is "bacterial SSU rRNA". It matches the Rfam family "Bacterial small subunit ribosomal RNA", at positions 118 to 912 of the family's 1533-position model. Lineage: Bacteria; Pseudomonadati; Pseudomonadota; Gammaproteobacteria; Pseudomonadales; Pseudomonadaceae. The record is from RNAcentral.